Long non-coding RNA from Gossypium raimondii (Peruvian cotton), 772 nucleotides. RefSeq lists it as uncharacterized. The transcript has 3 exons. Lineage: Eukaryota; Viridiplantae; Streptophyta; Magnoliopsida; Malvales; Malvaceae. The record is from RefSeq and is a predicted model, not a curated record.
UCCAUGAUCAAGAGUUGUUCUUCGGGAGUGAUAUUGCCUCGACGAACGUCCGGACGAAGAUAAUUCAGCCAACGGAGUCGGCAACUUUUUCCGCGUCAGCAAGGCUGCAUUACUCUGUCUCAGCUGUAGAUUUAGAAACAUAUCGUUGUUUUUGUGACCUCUAAGAAAUGAUGUCAACUCCAAGAAAGACGCAGUAAUCGGAGAUGGAACAUCAAUCAUCAGCAUCACUACCCGAGUUAACGUUGGAAUAAGCAGUCAGAGGAAGUGAUAAGUGUUAAAAGGCACUUGGAAGCAAAAGGAAUAAAAAAUUAGCGAAAAUUGGAGAGUCGAAGCAAGCUACAGGAGCCACACGGGCCAAACCACAUGGCCAUGUGGCCAACACAGGCGUGUGGUAGACCAUGUAAAUUUCACAGAAUUGCAUACUGAACUGCGGAAAUCACGAUUUUUAGGUAUUUUUGAGCAUUCUAAGAUGUAUAUAUGACAAAAAAUAUGAAGAUAGGACGGAGCCGUCAGAGAAUACUCAAAAAAAAACUUGAAAAACACCAUUGAAGCCGAUUUGGAAGCAGAUUUCUAUCAAAAUUGAAGAUUCCCAUUUGAUUUCUUAGGAAGUUAUCAUGAGUUUCUUUAGUUCUUCCGGUUAUGCUAUAUAUUGGAUGUUUUUAUUUUCAAGCAUGAACUAAUUUUCUAAAUACCUAAGGGAGAUGAACCCUAUGAUGGAUUUUGUCAUUUUAUUUUUAUUUUAUGCAAUAAAUACUUAGCUUCUUGUUCUCAA